Molecule: ribosomal RNA, 495 nt
Filed under: uncultured bacterium
Lineage: Bacteria
Description: partial 16S ribosomal RNA
Rfam family: Bacterial small subunit ribosomal RNA
Source: RNAcentral
GACGAACGCUGGCGGCGUGCCUAAUACAUGCAAGUAGAACGCUGAAGGAGGAGCUUGCUUCUCUGGAUGAGUUGCGAACGGGUGAGUAACGCGUAGGUAACCUGCCUGGUAGCGGGGGAUAACUAUUGGAAACGAUAGCUAAUACCGCAUAAUAGUAGAUGUUGCAUGACAUUUGCUUAAAAGGUGCAAUUGCAUCACUACCAGAUGGACCUGCGUUGUAUUAGCUAGUUGGUGGGGUAACGGCUCACCAAGGCGACGAUACAUAGCCGACCGGAGAGGGGGAUCGGCCACACUGGGACUGAGACACGGCCCAGACGCCUACGGGAGGCAGCAGUAGGGAAUCUUCGGCAAUGGACGGAAGUCUGACCGAGCAACGCCGCGUGAGUGAAGAAGGUUUUCGGAUCGUAAAGCUCGGUUGUAAGAGAAGAACGAGUGUGAGAGUGGAAAGUUCACACUGUGACGGUAUCUUACCAGAAAGGGACGGCUAACUACGUG